UAUCGUCUGGCGUUUGGGCCUGCGUUUGGGUCUUUCUAUUGUGCUCCCACCGCCUCCCUUUUCUCUCCGACUCCAAUUAGGGUUUGGGUUUCGCGCUCCAGCCGAUCCCGGAGAUGGGCCGUCGAUGGGUGGACAAAGGGAAGGCCGAGUCGGAGGAGGACGAUCACGAGGCGGCUAAGGCCGUGAUCUUCAUCAGCAGCAGCGACGAAGAGGAGGCCAACGAGGACCUCAGCCUCGCCAUCGUGGCGCGGGCGAGGGAGCGCGAGGCCAAUCGGAAGAGGGCGGAAGAAGAAGGCCUCCCGCCUGUAGCCGCUGCGGCACCGGCCUUGGUGAUAGAUCUGUCCUCGUCGCCCUCUGUGGACCAGGAGCCUGCGCCUUCUGGUGGGGAGGCGGCGGUGGAGGCGUCGGUGGAAGGGGAGAAGAAGAAGAAGCGGCGAAGGAAGAAGAGGAAGAAAAACGAGGCUGAAGAGAUUGAAACACCUCAGGUGGUUGAUCCUGCUAAAGAAGAAGAGGAACCAUUGGGCUCAGCUGAUCUUGUAGUCGCUGAAGUGAAUGAAACAUCUGAUAAUGUGGUUCUACGGAAGCUUCUUCGUGGGCCGAGGUACUUUGAUCCUGGGGACAGCAAUUGGGAGACUUGCUUUAACUGCGGUCAAGAAGGCCAUGUGGCUGCAAAUUGUACGAUGGAGAAGCGGCGGAAGCCAUGCUUUGUCUGCGGAAUGUUUGGGCACAAUGGGAAGCAGUGCACACAGGCACAAGAUUGUUUUGUUUGCAAAAGAAGAGGACAUUUUGCAAAAGACUGCCCUGAAAAGCAUAAGAGGAUUUCUCAUGAAUCUAAAAUUUGUCUGCGAUGUGGAGACAUUGGACAUGAUAUGAUAUCAUGUAGGAAUGACUAUUCACCUGGUGAUCUGAAGGAAAUACAGUGUUACAUUUGCAAAAAGUAUGGUCAUCUCUGCUGUGUUGACUUUACAGAUAAUGGUCCAAGAGAAGUCUCUUGUUACAAUUGUGCCCAGCUGGGCCAUACUGGUUUGGGAUGUGCAAGGCCACGUGGUGAAACUGGUGCUGCUGCAUCACCAACUUUAUGCUACAAAUGUGGUGAAGAAGGGCAUUUUGCGCGGGGUUGCACAAAAAUUUCUAUGUCUGCCAGACGGAUGGGUGAAUCAACUCCUACUCGAAAAGUUGCCAAGGAAAAUAAGGACUUUUUGGGGACCAGAUCAGCACCUCAUGGUUUUGCCAAUUUGCGUAAGAAGAAGAGCUUGCUUGAUGAGGAGAGGAAGAAUAUGUCAGCUGGUAGAUCCAGGAUAAAGGGUGGUUGGAUUGUUGAUGAUCCAGGUGACCUGCCUAGGAAGAAGUCUAAAUCAAAUGGUUGGGCAUCUUCCAGGACACCAGUUAAAAAUAGUCACAAAAAUUAUCCAUUAGGUUCAGGUGGACAAUAUUCUAGCUCUCAGUCUUCUAAGAAGCAUAAGUCUUUCAUGGGAACCCCUAGUCCGCAUGUUUCAAGGGGUAACUACCAGCAUGGUUUUUCUGCAUCAAGGUUUGGUAACUCGCAUGGUCGUUUUGGGAGAUCAUAGCAUAGCUGGGAACUGUUUGAUGUUGAUUGCUCUUCUUCCAGCAAAGAGUACCUGCAAAAAGAAAUAAACCCACAAUUUCUAACAACAGCCUCUGAGGGAUGUGUCAUUCUAAUUCGUCAUGUUGCUUCCCCAUGAAAUUUAUUUCUUUAAGCAAAUCCAGGGCUCUAAACAUGUCAUAAAUCUGGUGUGGGGCAAGUGAUUUUGCAACUAUGACCUACUUUUCAACAUUUUGCGGGGCUGUUGUUUUUGUACAUUAGGUAUGUGAUCUCAUUGCAAGCAGUUGAAAUUAUAGGAAGUAGAACAAAAUUGGGGACCAUUAUCCAGUUAGUCUAACUCCUUGUUGAAGUGGUUAGCAUGUUGAAUUCCCAUAUAUAAGAUGAUGGUAUCCCCUGCAUUUGAAGCUCAAAAAGAAUUAUUUAGAAAAUCUGGUGGAGGCUUCCUGUGUUAAGUAGUUUGGACUGCAGGAAUCCAAUGCUGAGAUAAGAGAACAUGUUAUGCCUGUUUUCGAAGAUUUUAUCCCAGAUUUUUGAGAUAGAAUGUGUUCCUUGAGGAUUUAGAUCUUCCAUACCGGACUGAAGGCUGCUGUGAGUGUUAUGUGGAUGCACAUGCUCAGGUGGACCUGUGGAAACCUUCUAUAUUACUGUUGCCUGUUGGUGCUCCAAGAUUUUUUUGUGGAUUGGAUGAUUGCAGCGUUAGUCAUCCGAAGAAGUUCUAAGAACUGGAGCUUUGGAUUCGUCUGAAGAAAUUCUGCGAACUGCAGCUUUGGAUUCGUCUGAAGUUCUGCAACCUGCAGCAUUGGAUCUUGCAUCUUUUGCAGGGCAUAUCUGCAUCUGGAUAACUGUAUCUUUCCAAUUCAGUAUCUGGUUAGCGUGUUCUCGUAGGGAUUUCAAUAGAUCUGAUGUUCCAUACCGAUUUUAUUUGAGAACAAUUAGUUCAUUGUUCAAAUAUUAGUUAUAUUUACUUUGUUUUUUGGUUGGCUCUUCGUAUUAAA
This is a non-coding RNA of Elaeis guineensis (African oil palm), 2559 nucleotides long. Lineage: Eukaryota; Viridiplantae; Streptophyta; Magnoliopsida; Arecales; Arecaceae. The record is from RefSeq and is a predicted model, not a curated record.